UCGAUGCCCAUUCGACGGAACCACCACUCUUCGCCGCCAUUUUGGAAACUGGUCAGACGGUGACAACUCUUGUCUCCGCAAGAGGACUUUCAGUUUAGUUCAAUAUUUCCGGGGAUUGCCACAGUUUCAGCCGCAAGAAUUUCCGCAGAUGGCGCUGAAGUCGAAACACUGGAUGAGAAUUUUAUCAACUCAGUGGCGCACACUUUUGAAAUAUAAAAUAUCAUCGAAAAGACUCCGAAAAAAUCCCAUACAAAUGUAGACUUAAUAGAUUCUACUUUUCAAAAUAAAAAUUCAAGUUAUUCUUUA
Molecule: long non-coding RNA, 306 nt
Organism: Orussus abietinus
Lineage: Eukaryota; Metazoa; Arthropoda; Insecta; Hymenoptera; Orussidae
Exons: 2
Source: RefSeq, a predicted model, not a curated record